This 263-nucleotide ribosomal RNA is filed under the name uncultured bacterium. RNAcentral's name for it is "partial 16S ribosomal RNA". It matches the Rfam family "Bacterial small subunit ribosomal RNA", at positions 109 to 353 of the family's 1533-position model. The record is from RNAcentral.
AGUAACACGUAAACAACCUGCCUUCAGGAUGGGGACAACAGACGGAAACGACUGCUAAUACCGAAUAAGUUCCAAGAGCCGCAUGGCCCAUGGAAGAAAAGGUGGCCUCUACCUGUAAGCUAUCGCCUGAAGAGGGGUUUGCGUCUGAUUAGCUGGUUGGAGGGGUAACGGCCCACCAAGGCGACGAUCAGUAGCCGGUCUGAGAGGUUGAACGGCCACAUUGGGACUGAGACACGGCCCAGACUCCUACGGGAGGCAGCAUG